This 113-nucleotide small nucleolar RNA is filed under the name Nannospalax galili (Upper Galilee mountains blind mole rat). Its description in RNAcentral is "Small nucleolar RNA SNORA3/SNORA45 family (ENSNGAG00000009271.1)". It matches the Rfam family "Small nucleolar RNA SNORA3/SNORA45 family". Rfam says of the family: The members of this family belong to the H/ACA class of snoRNAs which are thought to guide the sites of modification of uridines to pseudouridines. This family includes mouse snoMBI-28 and human homologues ACA3 (SNORA3) and ACA3-2 (SNORA45). Lineage: Eukaryota; Metazoa; Chordata; Mammalia; Rodentia; Spalacidae. The record is from Rfam by way of RNAcentral.
CCCAAGACUAGAGUCACAUCCUGACACAGCUACUUGUCUUAGUGUACUAGAGCUCUUGAAGAGGAUCUGCUGGUCUUGGUUCACCUCUCUUGGUGCCCAAAUAAGAAACAUCC